CGUUUCAGUAUCGACGAAGCGCCCUGUCGGGUGGUGACGGUAGAUACAGAAGAAGGACCGGCCAACUACGUGCCAGCAGCCGCGGUAAUACGUAGGGUCCGAGCGUUGUCCGGAAUUAUUGGGCGUUAAAGGGCUCGUAGGCGGUUUGUCGCGUCGGGAGUGAAAUCUUACAGCUUAACUGUGAACUUGCUUCCGAUACGGGCAGACUUGAGGCAUUCAGGGGAGAACGGAAUUCCUGGUGUAGCGGUGAAAUGCGCAGAUAUCAGGAGGAACACCGGUGGCGAAGGCGGUUCUCUGGGAAUGUACUGACGCUGAGGAGCGAAAGUGUGGGGAGCGAACAGGAUUAGAUACCCUGGUAGUCCACACCGUAAACGUUGGGCGCUAGGUGUGGGGCCUAUUCCAUGGGUUCCGUGCCGCAGCUAACGCAUUAAGCGCCCCGCCUGGGGAGUACGGCCGCAAGGCUA
Molecule: ribosomal RNA, 464 nt
Filed under: uncultured Actinomycetes bacterium
Lineage: Bacteria; Bacillati; Actinomycetota; Actinomycetes
Description: bacterial SSU rRNA
Rfam family: Bacterial small subunit ribosomal RNA
Source: RNAcentral